GACGAACGCUGGCGGCGUGCUUAACACAUGCCAGUCGAACGGAAAGGCCCUGCUUUUGUGGGGUGCUCGAGUGGCGAACGGGUGAGUAACACGUGAGUAACCUGCCCUUGACUUUGGGAUAACUUCAGGAAACUGGAGCUAAUACCGGAUAGGAGCUCCUGCUGCAUGGUGGGGGUUGGAAAGUUUCGGCGGUUGGGGAUGGACUCGCGGCUUAUCAGCUUGUUGGUGGGGUAGUGGCUUACCAAGGCUUUGACGGGUAGCCGGCCUGAGAGGGUGACCGGCCACAUUGGGACUGAGAUACGGCCCAGACUCCUACGGGAGGCAGCAGUGGGGAAUAUUGCACAAUGGGCGGAAGCCUGAUGCAGCAACGCCGCGUGCGGGAUGACGGCCUUCGGGUUGUAAACCGCUUUCGCCUGUGACGAAGCGUGAGUGACGGUAAUGGGUAAAGAAGCACCGGCUAACUACGUG
This 468-nucleotide ribosomal RNA is filed under the name uncultured bacterium. RNAcentral describes it as "partial 16S ribosomal RNA". It matches the Rfam family "Bacterial small subunit ribosomal RNA", at positions 28 to 507 of the family's 1533-position model. The record is from RNAcentral.